Molecule: ribosomal RNA, 427 nt
Filed under: uncultured bacterium
Lineage: Bacteria
Description: partial 16S ribosomal RNA
Rfam family: Bacterial small subunit ribosomal RNA
Source: RNAcentral
UGGGGAAUAUUGCACAAUGGGCGCAAGCCUGAUGCAGCCAUGCCGCGUGUAUGAAGAAGGCCUUCGGGUUGUAAAGUACUUUCAGCGGGGAGGAAGGUGUUGUGGUUAAUAACCACAGCAAUUGACGUUACCCGCAGAAGAAGCACCGGCUAACUCCGUGCCAGCAGCCGCGGUAAUACGGAGGGUGCAAGCGUUAAUCGGAAUUACUGGGCGUAAAGCGCACGCAGGCGGUCUGUCAAGUCGGAUGUGAAAUCCCCGGGCUCAACCUGGGAACUGCAUCCGAAACUGGCAGGCUUGAGUCUUGUAGAGGGGGGUAGAAUUCCAGGUGUAGCGGUGAAAUGCGUAGAGAUCUGGAGGAAUACCGGUGGCGAGGGCGGCCCCCUGGACAAAGACUGACGCUCAGGUGCGAAAGCGUGGGGAGCAAACA